AUGGGGUCCGAGACAACUGAACAGAGAAAUGACACCUUGCUGGGAAAUGGAGUUAUCGGCAUUCUCGCCGAGACUGUCAACAUGUGGGAGAGGAGGGCGCCGUUAACUCCUUCCCACUGUGCUCGCCUCAUGCUCGGGGGAGGCAAGCAUGAAUCCGGCGUGAACCGGAUCAUCGUGCAGCCGAGCACCAAGAGGAUCCACCAUGAUGCUCAGUACGAGGAUGCUGGGUGCGAGAUUUCAGAGGAUCUGUCAGAGUGUGGCCUCAUCGUAGGCAUCAAGCAACCAAAGCUGGAGAUGAUUCUUCCUGAUAGAGCAUAUGCGUUCUUCUCGCACACCCACAAGGCCCAGAAAGAAAAUAUGCCACUGUUAGACAAGAUCAUGGAAGAAAGAGUGUCCUUGUUUGAUUAUGAGCUAAUUGUCGACGAUGAUGGGAAAAGAAUGCUGGCAUUUGGGAAAUUUGCUGGCAGAGCUGGACUGAUAGACUUCUUACACGGUCUCGGGCAGAGAUAUCUGAGCCUUGGAUACUCGACUCCGUUUCUGUCUCUGGGGCAAUCCCAUAUGUAUCCUUCGCUCGCUGCAGCGAAGGCUGCAGUCAUCGCCAUUGGCGAAGAGAUAGCAACAUAUGGACUUCCAUCUGGAAUUUGUCCAAUUGUAUUUGCAUUCACCGGAUCAGGAAAUGUUUCGCAGGGUGCACAAGAGAUAUUCAAGCUAUUGCCACAUACCUUCGUUGAUGCUGAGAAACUUCCCGAGCUCUCUGCGGGAAAGAGUCUGCCUCCACAUCAUCAAUCAACCAGGAGAGCAUUUCAACUAUAUGGAUGUGUUGUCACAUCUAAAGACAUGGUCGCACCCAAAGAUCCCAACAGAUGUUUUGACAAAGCUGACUAUUAUGCUCAUCCGGAAUACUACCGCCCUGUUUUUCAUGAAAGAAUUGCUCCAUAUGCAUCUGCCAUUGUUAACUGUAUGUACUGGGAGAGGAGGUUUCCACGACUAUUGAGCAUUGAUCAGUUACAACAGCUGAUGAAGAAUGGGUGCCCUUUGGUUGGCAUUUCUGAUAUAACUUGUGACAUUGGAGGUUCCAUAGAAUUUGUGAACAAAAGUACAUCAAUAGAGAGGCCUUUCUUCCGGUAUGAUACUUCGACUAAUUUAUACCAUGAUGAUAUGGAAGGCGAUGGCGUGAUCUGCUUAGCUGUUGACAUUCUGCCUACAGAGUUUUCCAGAGAGGCCUCCCAGCAUUUUGGAGACAUAUUAUCUAGAUUUGUUACCAGCUUGGCCUCAGCUAAGGGACUGCUGGAGCUUCCUUCCCACUUGAGAAGAGCUUGCAUCGCAUAUGCUGGCAAACUCACUCCUCUGUAUGAGUAUAUUCCUCGGAUGAGAAAGACUAUGAUAGAAUUGCCACCAACUCCAGCGAAUUUAUUGCCUGAUAAGAAGUACACCACCCUGGUAUCUCUCUGUGGCCACCUCUUUGAUAAGUUCCUUAUAAAUGAAGCUUUGGACAUCAUUGAGACAGCUGGGGGUUCUUUUCACUUAGUUAAAUGUGAUGUUGGACAAAGCAUCGACGAUAUGUCCUAUUCGGAGCUUGAAGUAGGAGCAGAUGAUACGACUACAUUAGACAAGAUCAUCGAUUCCUUGACUUCUAUAGCUAAUGCGCACCGUGGAGAUCCUAAUGCCACCGAGAUAUCUCUAAAGAUAGGAAGAGUCAGCGAAUGCGGAAUUGAUGGCAGCAUGGAUAAAGUAGGACCAAAGGUUUUAAUCCUUGGAGCUGGAAGAGUUUGUCGGCCAGCUGCUGAGUUUCUAACAUCUUACCAAAACAUCGACCAAGUACAUGUUGUUGUGGCAUCUCUGUAUCAAAAAGAUGCAGAAGAGACAGUUGAUGGAAUAAAGAAUGCAACAGCAGCUCAGCUCGAUGUUUCAGACACUGAAAGUCUUUCGAAUCUUGUUUCACAGGUUGAUGUUGUAGUCAGCUUGCUGCCUGCUAGUUUUCAUGCUGCCAUUGCAAGAGUAUGCAUAGAGCUCAAGAAGCACUUGGUCACAGCAAGCUAUGUUGACGAUUCCAUGUCAAAGUUGGAGCAAGCUGCGCAAGGAGCAGGUGUAACUAUACUCUGUGAAAUGGGCCUUGAUCCUGGCAUAGAUCACAUGUUGUCGAUGAAAAUGAUUGAUGAAGCACAUGCUCGGGAUGGAAAGAUAAAGGCGUUUACAUCUUUCUGUGGUGGACUUCCAUCUCCAGCUGCCGCAAACAAUCCACUUGCUUAUAAGUUCAGUUGGAGUCCAGCAGGUGCCAUCCGAGCUGGAAGAAAUCCUGCUGUCUACAAAUUUCUUGGAGAGAUCAUCAAUGUGGACGGUAGUAAAUUAUACGAGUCAGCAAAGAGGCUCAGAUUACCGGAACUUCCAGCUUUUGCUCUGGAACACUUACCAAAUCGAAAUUCCUUGAUGUAUGGAGACCUGUAUGGGAUCUCCAAAGAAGCAUCUACCGUAUAUAGGUCCACUCUUCGUUACGAAGGAUUUAGUGAGAUCAUGGCUAUCCUGGCAAAAAUUGGGUUUUUUGAUGCUGAAAAUCAUCCACUGCUACAAGAAACUAAUCGUCCAACAUAUAGGAAUUUUCUCAAUGAACUCCUUAAUGUCAAUAAUAUCUCCACAUCUAACACAAAGAUAAACGGUGAAGAGUCUGGAGGACAUGAUGAUGAACUGGUUUCAAGACUCAUGAUGCUUGGGCAUUGCAAAGAAAAGGAACUAGCUGUCAAGAUACUCAAAACAAUCAAGUUCUUGGGGCUGCAUGAGGAGACACAGAUUCCUAAGGAUUGUUCAAGUGCAUUCAGUGUUAUUUGCCAACGAAUGGAACAGAGAAUGGCCUAUGGCCACAAUGAGCAGGAUAUGGUACUGCUGCACCAUGAAGUCGAGGUGGAGUACCCCGAUGGGCGACCCACCGAGAAGCACCAAGCGACGCUGAUGGAGUUCGGAAAGACUGAGAACGGCAGGUCGACCACCGCCAUGGCCCUCACCGUCGGGGUACCGGCAGCGAUAGGAGCCCUGCUCUUGCUCCAGAACAAGGUUCAGAAGAAAGGGGUGAUCCGGCCUCUGCAACCGGAGAUCUACAUCCCUGCGCUGGAGAUCUUGGAAGCGUCGGGCAUCAAGGUGAUAGAGAGAGUGGAGACCUGA
Molecule: ribosomal RNA, 3153 nt
Filed under: Triticum aestivum (bread wheat)
Lineage: Eukaryota; Viridiplantae; Streptophyta; Magnoliopsida; Poales; Poaceae
Description: partial small subunit ribosomal RNA
Source: RNAcentral